This 254-nucleotide ribosomal RNA is filed under the name uncultured bacterium. RNAcentral describes it as "partial 16S ribosomal RNA". It matches the Rfam family "Bacterial small subunit ribosomal RNA", at positions 524 to 776 of the family's 1533-position model. The record is from RNAcentral.
CACGUAGGGUGCGAGCGUUGUCCGGAAUUAUUGGGCGUAAAGAGCUCGUAGGCGGUGUGUCGCGUCGGCCGUGAAAACCUGCAGCUUAACUGUGGGCUUGCGGUCGAUACGGGCAUCACUGGAGUUCGGCAGGGGAGACUGGAAUUCCUGGUGUAGCGGUGAAAUGCGCAGAUAUCAGGAGGAACACCGGUUGCGAAGGCGGCUCUUUGGUCCGCUACUGACACUAAAGCGCGAAAGCGUGGGGAGCAAACAGG